UACGAGGGGAGCAAGCGUUGUUCGGAUUUACUGGGCGUAAAGGGCGCGUAGGCGGUCGUGACAGGUCACUUGUGAAAUCUCCGGGCUUAACUCGGAACGGUCAAGUGAUACUGUCGGACUAGAGUACAGAAGGGGCAACUGGAAUUCUCGGUGUAGCGGUGAAAUGCGUAGAUAUCGAGAGGAACACCUGCGGCGAAGGCGGGUUGCUGGGCUGAUACUGACGCUGAUGCGCGAAAGCCAGGGGAGCGAACGGG
RNAcentral lists this ribosomal RNA (254 nucleotides) under uncultured bacterium. RNAcentral's name for it is "partial 16S ribosomal RNA". It matches the Rfam family "Bacterial small subunit ribosomal RNA", at positions 524 to 776 of the family's 1533-position model. The record is from RNAcentral.